This 2743-nucleotide long non-coding RNA is filed under the name Triticum aestivum (bread wheat). RNAcentral's name for it is "long non-coding RNA (TAES_LNC013936)". Lineage: Eukaryota; Viridiplantae; Streptophyta; Magnoliopsida; Poales; Poaceae. The record is from RNAcentral.
CCUACCUGUAAUCAGUGAGUCCUUCCUGUUUUCUUCGAAUUUUGAUGUGCAACUGUAGUUUCUCCAUUUAUCUUGAAUUCCGUCAGAUCCCUGUCGGUCAGUUACUCAGUUUGUAGUAGAACUACACAUCUUUCCUAGACCUCCAUUGAAUUAGUUUUUCUUACUAGGUCAUAGUUGUUUGAUUAUUGGCAAACAAUCAUUCUUUACCUAUCCUUUUUGCAUCCGCAGAUUGAUCCGGCAACAGAGAGUUGAAGCUGCAAAGAAGCGUGAUGAGGAAAAAGCCGGUACACCACUACUCUUUGUAAUAUUUGGGAGAGGAUGACUAAUCUAAUAUUGCCAAGAUAUACGUUUGUUGUCCUUGACCUGAUUUUGAUGGCACUCAAUUUAUUUCAGCUUGGAGUUGGUUUGUAUUGUUUCUGCAAACAAUUGUCUGAACAUGUAAAUAAUAGUUGGUCACAAGUCAUAUGGGUACAGUGCAUCAUAACAACUCUGCCCCUACACAAUAUACAUCCCAUUACUUAUUUUUUUGGUAUGAUAAGUUGAGAAACAACUUGUUUUGUUGUUUUUUGAUGUGAACUACAUUAUAUGGACCUUUCACUCGAUUAUGUGCUAUUUUUUUACUAUAAUUGACAUGUUGAUAUGUCAUUCUAGAAUUUUGUUACUUCUGUUGGAACCUAAUUUUCAAUUUUACACCUUGCAGAAUUUAUGACUGGCAGAUUACAUGCUGGUUUCUUACUGCUUAGGUUUCGACAUUCGACAUUUGAACAAAUCAUAUACUGGAGAUUAUUAUAAUAGAAGGUAAACUUACCAAGCGAACAGAGCGAACAAUACUUUUGUUAGUGUUUUCCAGUCUGUUGCAUGCGCAUUGUGGUCACUACUGUCAAUCCAUGGAAAUUUAAAUGAUGGAUUAAACAAAUGGAACCUAUAUCCUGACUUGCCACUACUAUACUGUAGCUUCUGAAACACUUAUAUGCACAGAUAGUUUCUCUUUUAUCAUAACUGAAACAUUAUAAAGAUAAAUCUCACUCAGUUUUUAAGUGGGGAAGGGAAAGCUUCAAGAUAUUGCAUUUAAAACACUGAUAUCUAUUUGAAAAUUAAUUCAUGUGCAUACCUCCUGGAUCCUAUCAUUAUCAUGUCUCUAUUUCUCUUGUUCAAGAGAAGCGUGAAACAAAGCACUCAUAUUCACAGCAGCACAUACAGUUAUUCUAUGCUAUCAGAAAUAAGGUCGUUAAUAUUCAGAUAUAUGCAUGUAAACUUGGCCGGUUAAUCAUCAAACACACACACACACACACAAACACCACGCUGGAAGGUGGUAUUCAUGGUUGAUAGAUGUCCCUAUAAGAUUGUACAUUGUUCCUCUGAUCCAUUGCGAGGUAUAUAAAUGAUUCGAUUUUGACUUUAUUUUUUCAUCUUAGUUCACCUAGUGUUGGAUAAAAGUUGGACAGAUCCACAUAGGUAAGUCUUAUCCAUAUAAUGCUUUUACAAUCUGCCAGUGGAACUUUAAAUGAUACGAUUUACCAAUUUCAACGAUGUAUAUUAGCAGAUUAAGUAAAAGCAGUGUUAGAUAUGAAAUGAACUUAAUUCAACCAUUCUCUAGAAGAAAGUACCUAUUUGUCAUAUGGCGAUGUUAUCUUGUAGAACAACAAUAGGGAUUUGUUAACAUUCGACCUUUAUGCUGUACUUUUUCCAUUUUGAUUCGCCUACUGUUAAUAUCCUCUUCUUCAACUGACACAUUCUUGCAAGCUAUCACAAUUGAUGAAAUAUAAUUACGAGCACUUAGCUUUUUUGAAUUUUAUAUGCAUACCAGAAGAUUUACUCGUUACAAACAUUAAACAGACGGACCUCUUUUUCAACAAGUUGUUUCAAAUCCCACUGAGACAAAAUAAAAGUGUGCUACUGCUAAUUACUAUACUGGAACAGAAUGUAUGGUUGACAUAAAGGCUAUAUUGGAAUAUUUUAGCUGUUGUGGUGUUCCUAAUAACUUAAAACUGCUGUGAAGAUGAACUGAACAAUAAUACUCUCAAAUUAGAGAGCAAGAAAUUUCGAGUUAGUCUACUGUAGGGUAAUAAAGUUCUUAUAUAUGCUGCAAAUCAGUUGCCUUGUGGUGUAAUCACUGAUGUCAUGUUUCCAUAAGUGCCUGCUGUAAUGACCUUAAUAGUGCAAAGCUAUGUUUUAUAUAAAUUUGCCUAUUCUUUCCAGAGUGCAGGGAAAUGUAUGAGGUGAAUCAAUUUUCCUAUUCUGUUGUUGCUGCUAUAUUUAGGUGUAUGUGGGUUUAAGAUUGGACACUAAUUGUUGAACUAGGAGCUUUCCCUCGUUAGGAAUAUAAGCUGAAACUUUCCCAUUGCCUUGAUUCUUUGUAGGAAAGACAUACAAGAUGACCAGGAACCAUGAAGCUCGCAGUUUGCGUUAACUGUGUAAUGGAGAGGACUAUGAAUCGCUGGACAUGUGUCUAUUAGCUAUCAUAUAUGGUGUCUUGGUCAAGUGGAUAUUCUGUGUAAUGUAAGACGCAUGAUUUGUAGGACAUAUAUCUAUUGGCUAUCAUUUUGUAAACCUAUCCGGUCUCUCGGUCACUGAACCAUAAAUGUUUCCUCUUAAUUGGCUACCUCCUCCGUUUGUGAGAAGUAAUUAAUGUGCUAUUUUUGUUUGGUUUUGGUUUAAUAUUUUUGGAGUACAUGCAUGUUACUUUAAUUUGAUUGAUAUUGUACUGUAAUGAGAUAUAUUACUAGACGGACACUGUUUUGGU